UACAACGCACUACCUGUUCAUAGUAGUCGUUGCUGUCAACAGCACACUGCUCACCAUCAACGCAGGGGACUACAUCUUCUACACAGACUGGGCGUGGACGUCCUUCGUUGUGUUCUCGGUGGCCCCGGUCACAAUAAUAGACAGAGGGGAAAUAUACUAAUUGUUAUCCACAUGUGUUCCAGGGAACGCAAACUAUUACGAGCAUAUCAUGACCACACAGACGAGAGCACGAAAGGGAUCAUGGGUUGCACCUGGAUCAGCCUACGAAUAUGACAGGCUAAAAGACGCACCAAGCACGAUUCCAUCCGGAUUGGCGGUACGCUAGUUGUCCUAUCCUUCCCGCUGUUCAACAUGGUAAACCUGUUGCUUGUAAGGGACCCGCUCGAGGUGUACUUCAAUGAUGCGAGACCGACUCUGCCCGCGUACAUGACGCCUAUAGAGCCUCAGGUAGGGAAGUUCUACAACUCGCCUGUCGCCCUGGGUUCAGGUGCCGGUGCAGUGCUAACGGUACCCAUCGCUGCGUUGGGUGCAAAACUAAACACGUGG
Molecule: ribosomal RNA, 546 nt
Filed under: uncultured Nitrososphaerota archaeon
Lineage: Archaea; Thermoproteati; Nitrososphaerota
Description: uncultured thaumarchaeote partial 16S ribosomal RNA
Source: RNAcentral